GACGAACGCUGGCGGCGUGCUUAACACAUGCAAGUCGAGCGGUAAGGCCCUUUCGGGGGUACACGAGCGGCGAACGGGUGAGUAACACGUGGGUGACCUGCCCUCAGCUCUGGGAUAAGCCUGGGAAACCGGGUCUAAUACUGGAUAUGACUCCAUGACGCAUGUUGUGGGGUGGAAAGCCUUGUGCGGCUGAGGAUGGGCCCGCGGCCUAUCAGCUUGUUGGUGGGGUGANGGCCUACCAAGGCGACGACGGGUAGCCGGCCUGAGAGGGCGACCGGCCACACUGGGACUGAGACACGGCCCAGACUCCUACGGGAGGCAGCAGUGGGGAAUCCUGCGCAAUGGGCGAAAGCCUGACGCAGCGACGCCGCGUGAGGGAUGACGGCCUGGUGU
Molecule: ribosomal RNA, 393 nt
Filed under: uncultured bacterium
Lineage: Bacteria
Description: bacterial SSU rRNA
Rfam family: Bacterial small subunit ribosomal RNA
Source: RNAcentral